GACGAACGCUGGCGGCCGUGCUUAACCACAUGCAAGUCGAACGAAGAGCGAUGGAAGCUUGCUUCUAUCAAUCUUAGUGGCGAACGGGUGAGUAACGCGUAAUCAACCUGCCCUUCAGAGGGGGACAACAGUUGGAAACGACUGCUAAUACCGCAUACGAUCUAAUCUCGGCAUCGAGGAUAGAUGAAAGGUGGCCUCUACAUGUAAGCUAUCACUGAAGGAGGGGAUUGCGUCUGAUUAGCUAGUUGGAGGGGUAACGGCCCACCAAGGCGAUGAUCAGUAGCCGGUCUGAGAGGAUGAACGGCCACAUUGGGACUGAGACACGGCCCAGACUCCUACGGGAGGCAGCAGUGGGGAAUCUUCCGCAAUGGACGAAAGUCUGACGGAGCAACGCCGCGUGAGUGAUGACGGCCUUCGGGUUGUAAAGCUCUGUUAAUCGGGACGAAAGGCCUUCUUGCGAAUAGUGAGAAGGAUUGACGGUACCGGAAUAGAAAGCCACGG
RNAcentral lists this ribosomal RNA (501 nucleotides) under Veillonella parvula. RNAcentral's name for it is "bacterial SSU rRNA". It matches the Rfam family "Bacterial small subunit ribosomal RNA", at positions 28 to 496 of the family's 1533-position model. The record is from RNAcentral. Lineage: Bacteria; Bacillati; Bacillota; Negativicutes; Veillonellales; Veillonellaceae.